AUGCUCCUUAAUUGGAAAAUCACCUGUAUGUCAGAGGGUCCUUCUGGGAAAACAUUAAGAGCAAGGGGCCGAUGCAAUCUCGGAUCCUCCCGAAUGUGCCCAGAUUCUCCUCCUCAUGGGUCUACCCUGAUCCUUUUCUUUAUUUGCCUUGAUUACAGGAUGUGGGUGGGAAGGCAACCUAGUACAGCCACUAUGGAGAACAGUGUGGAGAUUCCUUUAAAAAUUGCAAAUAGGUGGUGGGAUUUUUGAAGACCAUCCUAUAAUUCUUGGACUCCACUCAUAGCUUCAGAGCUGCUGGGCUGCUUUGGAGGAGGAGGAGUGCCCACGGAGGAAGCCCUUUGAAAAGAGACCUAGCACUUCAAUUUAUAACACUCUGUGUGCUCAAAUGAUGGGGCCAGGUCAGGGUCAGCCUGGUCUUGGUUUACAUUGAAUUCCUCAUAGAGACUGGUCUCGGCAAAGAGGUGCAAGGGGCUCAGGGGAGUGGGAGUGAACAGUCUCUCAGAGAGGAUCCUGUGGUUCAAGUGGACGAAUAUCACAUCCUCUGCUGAUGGGUCCUGAGAGGAAGGAGAUGUGAAUGAUGGAAUGAAAUGCGAUCUUUGAAGGCUGAAGAAUUGGGCAUUGGAGGGGCUCGGGCUAUGGCAAGGGUUUGGGUGGGAAGAUCCACGUCGCCGUUCACUGUUCUGUCUUCCUUGGGCUCUCCUUCCGUGAUGGCAACAUCUGCGAAUGGAAGAGACUCAAGGCUCUUGGCAUGGGGGUGUUUCUUCUAGACCUCCAUAUCUUUGGUGGGGACAUCAAAGCCACAAAAUGCAGGGGUGUGCCCCAGGAUGCUGAGUCUGUUCACUCUACUAAAUUAAAAAAAAAAAAAUCAUCCCAUAUAUAAGCCCAGCCACUGACAGACUCUCUCAGGAAUCUGUGCAAACCCAUGGAGCCCAUCCUACAUCUUUUCUUAUGGACCAUCCUCUAAUGCAUAUUAGUAGAUUCCCAAGAUCAUAAAAGGGAGAGGAACAGAUGGCUGUGAUUGAAGGGACGAACAGGGCUUGGAAUGUCCCUGGUGGCCCACGGAUUAAGAGUCAAACUUCCAGUUCAGGGAGCAUGGGUUCUAUUUCUGGUGGGAGAACUGAGAUCCCACAUGCCUUGAAGCAACUAUCCUCAGUGCUGCAACUGCUGAGCCCGCGAGCUCUGGAGCCUCCAAAUGCACCCAGCACUGCAAUGAGGAUCCCCCAUGCUGCAGCUGAGACCUGAGGCAGCUAAGAACAAAUUAACACAUAUUCUCUUUAAAAGAACAGGGUUCCAUGGUUCUCUGGAAGAUAUUGCCUCAGGGAUUACAACAAUGGAAAUCAGUUUUCAACCUACUGGAAUAGAAAACGCCAUUCUCUGUUAUGAGCCCAGCUGCCCCUGGGUCAGAUGACGCUGUGCUUUCCUCCUUCAGACUUACGAUUGUGGGUAGAACACCAGUGACAGUUUGGCUCUUCAUACUUACUUUAUGGGUAACCAGUGACAGACAAGAACAGCAAGGAAGAUGCUGGUAUAGAUGAAGGCUACGGAGAGCCUAAGGAGAAGGUGCAGCUGGCUGGACUGGCCUUGAGGAAGCUGUACUUCUGCCAACAAGCCAAUGGAAGAAGGUCUGGUUAUCCGUUGCAUACACCCAGCCCCUAUACACAGGAGUUAUUGCAUCCUUGUGUCAAAGUGUGUCAGCAGCUCUCAACCUGAUCAGUAUGGUCUCCACUUUCCAGGAGGCACCAAAGCGUCCAGGAGAGAUGCUAGCAGGGGAUGGAGUAAGGAGGCCAUGCAAGACCAGAAGUGGUCUGAAACCAGGUCCCCCGGGCUCCCAUGCACUUUUUCUCUGCUGGCCG
This 1853-nucleotide long non-coding RNA is filed under the name Ovis aries (sheep). RNAcentral's name for it is "lncRNA (ENSOARG00000026945.1)". Lineage: Eukaryota; Metazoa; Chordata; Mammalia; Artiodactyla; Bovidae. The record is from RNAcentral.